Molecule: ribosomal RNA, 1449 nt
Filed under: uncultured organism
Description: SSU rRNA
Rfam family: Bacterial small subunit ribosomal RNA
Source: RNAcentral
AUGAACGCUAGCUACAGGCUUAACACAUGCAAGUCGAGGGGCAUCAGGAAGAAAGCUUGCUUUCUUUGCUGGCGACCGGCGCACGGGUGAGUAACACGUAUCCAACCUGCCCUUUACUCGGGGAUAGCCUUUCGAAAGAAAGAUUAAUACCCGAUGGCAUAAUGAUUCCGCAUGGUUUCAUUAUUAAAGGAUUCCGGUAAAGGAUGGGGAUGCGUUCCAUUAGGUUGUUGGUGAGGUAACGGCUCACCAAGCCUUCGAUGGAUAGGGGUUCUGAGAGGAAGGUCCCCCACAUUGGAACUGAGACACGGUCCAAACUCCUACGGGAGGCAGCAGUGAGGAAUAUUGGUCAAUGGGCGCUAGCCUGAACCAGCCAAGUAGCGUGAAGGAUGAAGGCUCUAUGGGUCGUAAACUUCUUUUAUAUAAGAAUAAAGUGCAGUAUGUAUACUGUUUUGUAUGUAUUAUAUGAAUAAGGAUCGGCUAACUCCGUGCCAGCAGCCGCGGUAAUACGGAGGAUCCGAGCGUUAUCCGGAUUUAUUGGGUUUAAAGGGAGCGUAGGUGGACUGGUAAGUCAGUUGUGAAAGUUUGCGGCUCAACCGUAAAAUUGCAGUUGAUACUGUCAGUCUUGAGUACAGUAGAGGUGGGCGGAAUUCGUGGUGUAGCGGUGAAAUGCUUAGAUAUCACGAAGAACUCCGAUUGCGAAGGCAGCUCACUGGACUGCAACUGACACUGAUGCUCGAAAGUGUGGGUAUCAAACAGGAUUAGAUACCCUGGUAGUCCACACAGUAAACGAUGAAUACUCGCUGUUUGCGAUAUACAGUAAGCGGCCAAGCGAAAGCAUUAAGUAUUCCACCUGGGGAGUACGCCGGCAACGGUGAAACUCAAAGGAAUUGACGGGGGCCCGCACAAGCGGAGGAACAUGUGGUUUAAUUCGAUGAUACGCGAGGAACCUUACCCGGGCUUAAAUUGCAGUGGAAUGAUGUGGAAACAUGUCAGUGAGCAAUCACCGCUGUGAAGGUGCUGCAUGGUUGUCGUCAGCUCGUGCCGUGAGGUGUCGGCUUAAGUGCCAUAACGAGCGCAACCCUUAUCUUUAGUUACUAACAGGUUAUGCUGAGGACUCUAGAGAGACUGCCGUCGUAAGAUGUGAGGAAGGUGGGGAUGACGUCAAAUCAGCACGGCCCUUACGUCCGGGGCUACACACGUGUUACAAUGGGGGGUACAGAAGGCAGCUAGCGGGUGACCGUAUGCUAAUCCCAAAAGCCUCUCUCAGUUCGGAUCGAAGUCUGCAACCCGACUUCGUGAAGCUGGAUUCGCUAGUAAUCGCGCAUCAGACACGGCGCGGUGAAUACGUUCCCGGGCCUUGUACACACCGCCCGUCAAGCCAUGGGAGCCGGGGGUACCUGAAGUACGUAACCGCAAGGAUCGUCCUAGGGUAAAACUGGUGACUGGGGC